This 1016-nucleotide ribosomal RNA is filed under the name uncultured Chromatiaceae bacterium. Its description in RNAcentral is "bacterial SSU rRNA". It matches the Rfam family "Bacterial small subunit ribosomal RNA", at positions 55 to 1078 of the family's 1533-position model. Lineage: Bacteria; Pseudomonadati; Pseudomonadota; Gammaproteobacteria; Chromatiales; Chromatiaceae. The record is from RNAcentral.
AUGCAAGUCGAGCGGGGUUUUCGGACCUAGCGGCGGACGGGUGAGUAAUGCGUAGGAAGCUACCCGAUAGAGGGGGAUACCAGUUGGAAACGACUGUUAAUACCGCAUAAUGUCUACGGACCAAAGUGUGGGACCUUCGGGCCACAUGCUAUCGGAUGCGCCUACGUGGGAUUAGCUAGUUGGUGAGGUAAUGGCUCACCAAGGCGACGAUCUCUAGCUGGUUUGAGAGGAUGAUCAGCCACACUGGAACUGAGACACGGUCCAGACUCCUACGGGAGGCAGCAGUGGGGAAUAUUGGACAAUGGGCGCAAGCCUGAUCCAGCCAUGCCGCGUGUGUGAAGAAGGCCUUCGGGUUGUAAAGCACUUUCAGCGAGGAGGAAGGGGUGAGUGUUAAUAGUACUCACCUUUGACGUUACUCGCAGAAGAAGCACCGGCUAACUCUGUGCCAGCAGCCGCGGUAAUACAGAGGGUGCAAGCGUUAAUCGGAAUUACUGGGCGUAAAGCGCACGCAGGCGGUUGGUUAAGUCAGAUGUGAAAGCCCCGGGCUCAACCUGGGAAUUGCAUUUGAAACUGGCCAACUAGAGUAUGUGAGAGGGGGGUAGAAUUCCAAGUGUAGCGGUGAAAUGCGUAGAGAUUUGGAGGAAUACCAGUGGCGAAGGCGGCCCCCUGGCACAAUACUGACGCUCAGGUGCGAAAGCGUGGGGAGCAAACAGGAUUAGAUACCCUGGUAGUCCACGCCGUAAACGAUGUCUACUAGCUGUUCGUGGUCUUGUACUGUGAGUAGCGCAGCUAACGCACUAAGUAGACCGCCUGGGGAGUACGGUCGCAAGAUUAAAACUCAAAUGAAUUGACGGGGGCCCGCACAAGCGGUGGAGCAUGUGGUUUAAUUCGACGCAACGCGAAGAACCUUACCUACUCUUGACAUCUAGCGAAGAUUGUAGAGAUACGAUUGUGCCUUCGGGAACGCUAAGACAGGUGCUGCAUGGCUGUCGUCAGCUCGUGUUGUGAAAUGUUGG